GCGUGAGGACGCACGGUGGUCAAUUAGAAGCCCCCCUCGGGAGGGAUUACUGACCGGGGGAAAGGCUUUGAACAGACGACCACUGCUGGGUCACCUGCGAGCCCCCCGCCCCCCCAACCACCUCCCGCCGCCACACGUGUUGGCUCCACUGACGCAUAAUUCCACUCAUCUCACGCGCCAUACCUGCCCACCAGACACUACAUCAAAGCAGUGGUCGGUAACGUCAAAACAACAUUACCGUGCUAACUGUAUACGCGCUUGGGGACGUGGCACGUUUUCCCAGCCAAAAUGAAUCAUCAAAACUAAAAACACCAAUGAAGAAACCGGUUUGGCGUCUUCCCACAAACAUACUCUUCUUCUCUCUUGUCUACAUCUGUUCCUCCAUAAAACCCAAUAACAACUUGAGAGUUACAUUGCAG
This is a long non-coding RNA of Gasterosteus aculeatus aculeatus (three-spined stickleback), 419 nucleotides long. Lineage: Eukaryota; Metazoa; Chordata; Actinopteri; Perciformes; Gasterosteidae. The record is from Ensembl.